CCUACGGGAGGCAGCAGUAAGGAAUAUUGGUCAAUGGACGGAAGUCUGAACCAGCCAUGCCGCGUGCAGGAUGACGGCCCUCUGGGUUGUAAACUGCUUUUAUAGGGGACGAAAAAAGGGGAUUCUUCCUCACUUGACGGUACCCUAGGAAUAAGCACCGGCUAACUCCGUGCCAGCAGCCGCGGUAAUACGGAGGGUGCAAGCGUUAUCCGGAUUUACUGGGUUUAAAGGGUGCGUAGGUGGGUCGGUAAGUCAGCGGUGAAAUCUUCGAGCUUAACUCGGAAACUGCCAUUGAUACUAUCGAUCUUGAAUCGUCUAGAGGUAAGCGGAAUAUGUCAUGUAGCGGUGAAAUGCUUAGAUAUGACAUAGAACACCAAUUGCGAAGGCAGCUUACUAUGGAUGUAUUGACACUGAGGCACGAAAGCGUGGGGAUCAAACAGGAUUAGAUACCCUGGUAGUCCACGCCCUAAACGAUGGAUACUCGACAUUUGAGAUAUACUUUAAAGUGUCUGAGCGAAAGCAUUAAGUAUCCACCUGGGAAGUACGAUCGCAGAUUGAAACUCAAAUGAAUUGACGGCUGAGAGNGCGAGACGACGACGAGGGAGGAGG
RNAcentral lists this ribosomal RNA (609 nucleotides) under uncultured bacterium. RNAcentral's name for it is "bacterial SSU rRNA". It matches the Rfam family "Bacterial small subunit ribosomal RNA", at positions 338 to 948 of the family's 1533-position model. The record is from RNAcentral.